GAUUUUCAGAUAAAUAUGCCUCCACCUUUAUUCCUAUCGGGUCCAUGUGAAAUUUGCGGGCAAAAAACUUCGGGUCGACAUUUUGGAGUGAUGAGUUGCAGAUCGUGUGCUGCAUUUUUCAGAAGAGCUGCGACGUGGAAAACUGAAAGAGCCGAUUGUAAGAAGGAGAAUUGCCAAAUUUUUGAACGUGGAAAAUUCUCCUGCAAAGUUUGCCGUCUAAAACGGUGUUUGGAAGUCGGAAUGGAUGCCAGUAAAUUCCAAUCCAAUCGAGACCUGAUUUCUUCUUCACAUUCGUUUGGAAAACCAAAAUCCCUAAACCUUCCCCAAUCCCUAUCAACAUUUCUCGGAAGACCUGCGUUCAUAUUGUGCUGUGAACCGGAUAAGACGUCGGGACGGAAAACUCUAAUUGAUGUAUCUUAUCUGGUGAAAGAGGGAAGAGAUCUGCUGCGGACGGAGCCCCAUCUCUCUCAUAUCCCUUAUAAAUUCAAUGACAGCUUGGAGAAGAUAUCGCUGAAACUUGAAAGUCUGCGCACCACAGAACUGAAUAAUAAAAUUCGGAUGCUUAAAAAACUCGGAAAAGAAGAAACUAUGUAUACAUGGGAGCAGGACUUCCUUAGAGUUAUCAAGUGGUUCGCAAAUCUUGAUGAGUUUAAUGACUUGGACGAGGAUUUGAUGCUCAACAUAGUAAAGGCUGCCUGGAUCCCCUGGACAAUUUUGGAGAAGCUUUACGAGACCUCUGAUUACCAAAGGAAAAAUAUUUUUAGCAAGACUGUACUGAUGUGUGGCAAUGAUACAUGUAUGGACAUGAACAACUACGAGCUCGAUUUAUCCUGGCUCACGGACUACUCGUUGGACCAGCUUACAUACUUUUUCACUCCACCAGAAGCGAACAAAAACUAUUUAAAAGGCCUUGAAGCCUUAAUCGAGCUGAAUCCAAGCUCCAUUGAGGUCAACUACAUGCUUCUUCAACUCUCACUCCAACACGCCGGGAAAAUUCUACUUGGCAGUGCGCAAGAGGCCACUGACAAAUUACAACAUGUUCUGGCGGAUAAUCUACAUAAAUACUAUGUGGAGACUGCGAAAAUCCCAAACUAUUCGAUUCGUUUGUCAAAAAUGAUGAAGAUCAAUAGAGAAAUUGAGCGGGAAAUGCGAGAUCGAGCCGAGAGAAAUCGAAUCGCUCGGAUUUUUGAUAUACUGAAAGUGGAGUUUUCGGAUUUGGACCUGAUUGAUGCGACUUGAGAAGAUUGCGUUUUUAUUGGGAAAACUAUGUGCAAUAGUUCAAAAAUGUUCCGAUCUCUCGAAGUCAAAGACAUUGUUUUAAAUUAUCAUUAUUUCCGGUGACUUUUACUAUUUUAUUUUUCAAUUCCAAAGAUAAUUUUUUUUGUAAACUUUUUGAAAUACUACCAA
Molecule: unclassified non-coding RNA, 1407 nt
Filed under: Caenorhabditis elegans
Lineage: Eukaryota; Metazoa; Nematoda; Chromadorea; Rhabditida; Rhabditidae
Description: Non-coding transcript of protein-coding gene nhr-128
Source: RNAcentral